GCAGUAUUGAAGAACUGGGAUGACAGGGUGCAAAGGAAUAUUCAACAUCCAACCAAUUUUUAUAGAGGGGCUCUUAAGUGACCAGACAUUAUCCUGGGAAAUUCAUCAAGUAAACAAAAUGGACAAAGAUUAUUGACAUCAUAAACUGGCUUUCUAGUGGGGAAAAAGAACUUAAUAGAUAAUUGGUGUAAUAUGUUAGAAAGAGAUGAAAACAUGAUUAAAGAAGAAAAGCUGAACGUGUUUAAGGAAGAUCCGGAAUGGGAGAGGCAAGUUGGAAAAUUAAUAAGGCUGGUCAAGAUAAGCUGCAUUAAGAAGGUUAGAUCUGAGCAAAGAAAGACUUGAAAGAGCUGAGGGAAUUAGCCAAGGGGAUACCUCAGUCAUCAGAGGAAGUCUUAAAUAUCUAUUUUAUUGAAUCUCCUGAACCUGAGCCUCAGCUAAAUCGGAAGCUUUGGGGCAGGCAGAGAACUAAGAUAUAGACAUUGCUGUUACUUCAUCUCUUUGAUGCUCCCCCACAUCUCAUUGUGAUUUUUCAAAUUAAAUUCAGCAGUUGAAUGUAGUUUACCAUGUUCUGUGUCACAAAAAGUAUGAUUUGGUAAGCAAAGGAUAUGUAACUUUAUAUUGUUUCUGUCCAACAGCAUUCUGCAAUCUUUAAAUCCCGUUAGUGGGGGGGCUGGGGUUGUGGCUCAGUGGCAGAGCACUUGCCUAGGUUCAAUCCUCCGCACCACAUACAAAAAUAAACAAAUAAAAUAAAGGCAUACUGUCCAUUUAUAACUACAAAACAUUUUUUUAAGUCCCAUUAAGAUUUAAAUGUAUCAAGAUGCCUAAUAUCAGAAAUUGAUAGAGAAUGGAUGUGUGUGAUAUUUGUUAAUCUCUGAUAGCUGAUACCAAAAC
This 891-nucleotide long non-coding RNA is filed under the name Marmota monax (woodchuck). The record is from RNAcentral. Lineage: Eukaryota; Metazoa; Chordata; Mammalia; Rodentia; Sciuridae.